UACGAAGGGGGCUAGCGUUGCUCGGAAUCACUGAGCGUAAAGCGCACGUAGGCGGAUUGCUAAGUCAGGGGUGAAAUCCUGGAGCUCAACUCCAGAACUGCCUUUGAUACUGGCAACCUUGAGUCCGGGAGAGGUGAGUGGAACUGCGAGUGUAGAGGUGAAAUUCGUAGAUAUUCGCAAGAACACCAGUGGCGAAGGCGGCUCACUGGCCCGGUACUGACGCUGAGGUGCGAAAGCGUGGGGAGCAAACAGG
Molecule: ribosomal RNA, 253 nt
Filed under: uncultured bacterium
Lineage: Bacteria
Description: partial 16S ribosomal RNA
Rfam family: Bacterial small subunit ribosomal RNA
Source: RNAcentral